GGUUUCUUCUUGUUGCCCUCCCAUUCCUGCUCCUCUCCCCAGCAGGCCUCCUCGCAGUGGCGUUGCGCGACGGUGGGGAAGAGCAGCGCUCCGAGGGACACACGAUUGUGUCGCAUCCCUGUCUUUUUUUUUCUUUAGGUUCCUCAUCCAAAUUAUUUUCUGAUUAUGCCAUGUGAUUGCAGUUCGGUAUGGAUCUAGCCAUCUAGGGUAGCUGAGAUUGGUUCUGCUGCUGUAUUACGUUGCCAUUCGUGUGUCGAUUUUUGUUCUAGGGUUUGAUGUACUACUGAUCUCUGAGGUGCUCUGGAUUCAUUGAGUGCGACUUUGGUGAGGGCUUUUUAGCCCAGUUACGUUGUAUCAUGGCAAUUGCAGGUGCAUGUAGCAAAUUACUCUGUUGUGGUUACUUCAAUAAUAUAGUUAUUUAACUGA
Long non-coding RNA from Phragmites australis (common reed), 426 nucleotides. RefSeq lists it as uncharacterized. NCBI's taxonomy places the organism in Eukaryota, Viridiplantae, Streptophyta, Magnoliopsida, Poales, Poaceae. The transcript is spliced from 2 exons. The record is from RefSeq and is a predicted model, not a curated record.